UAAAUGUCCACUUUUUUUAACACACCUGGUUUUGCUGCGCCCUCUGCAGGCUCCCCCGCAGUACUGCAAGGAUGCGUCAGGGCUGCUUGCAUUCAGAUGUGCCUCUGGCGGUAGAAUUCGAGAAGCGUUCUGAACUUUGCGCUCUUGUGCCUGUCCGACAGUGACAUCAUGUGGCGGCUGGUGGAACUGCAACGACUCAUCUGUGGCCCAAGUCUCCACCACCUGUGCAGCAGUGGAAGUACCUUCCAGGCAAGGUGGGGAAAGCACCUCUUUGAGCAGGGUAAAAUCCGGGUACACCCCAUCCACAAACAGCAGCCCUUCCAUGGUACAUGGGGUGUUCGAUCAGAUCUGCAGCCUCGAUUAAUAUGAUUUGAGUUGGGUCUCAAUCAGUGUGACGUUUGAGAUUAAAGUAUAGACCUUUAGCCUUUUUUGGGAAGGGGGGGACGCUGAUCCCCUUAGGGGCUGCACAGAAACCUCUAUGACUGGAUCUUGGAGAUUUAGGAGGCAAAACCUUCAUCCCACGUGAAUUCCUUUGCAAAAGUCUUUUGGAUCCCUGUACAAAUUAAAGUCCAUGUUAUGUGGAUACAACCAAGAAAAAAAAAGCACUUGUUUAACCCUUUACCUGCUUAUAAUGCAAACCUGGUGAUUUAAAUAGAGAGUUCUUAUACAAAGUGUUUGGCAGGUGAAGGGUUAAUACGACAGGAGGGGUCAGCAAGCCCUCCCUAAAUUGAAUCAGCUGCUAGUUACCAUCAGGACCUCCCAUGUAUUAUGGCAGGGUCAGUCUAUAAAGGGGGGUCAGGUCACAGAGCUCCAUUUUAUUUUUUUCCUUUGGGUAUUUGGAGGAGAUGGGGUAAAGGGUGUUGCUGGUUUUAAAAUUCUCAUCUAUGUGGUUUGCCAAAUGCAGAUUUUUAUUUUUUUUUAUGACAAAAGUUUAAGCUCAUCAUUUUAUCUUGGGUUUACACACACAAAAAAAAAUGAAUUGAAAGUAUGAAUGUUUAUCAGUUAUUUGUAUAUGUGUAAAUAUGGUGAAUUGGAAAACUGUAUUUGUUAAAUUUAGGCUAACGUUGCCUGCCCUUGAAUAUGAUAAAAGCGAAAACAAAGUUUAUUUGAUAAACUGAAGUGCAAAACUCAGGUUAAAACAUCAAACUUGUGAUUGUUGUAGCCAGCAUGGAGAUUUUCCCUAAUUCAAUAUUUGCCUCAACUUAAAUAAUGGAUGAACCCAAUUUAUAAAUAAAAUCUCAUUCCAGUAGGAAGAUUCCAUUAUUUUUUUUCUUAGUAAAUUAUUUUUAAAUCAAUUUUGGCUUACUUGCCUCUUGCACAUUUGGUUUACUGUUACAUUUAUGGGUUUAUUUACUAAACAGUGAAUUGAUGGAGCUAAAGUGUCACAGAUAUAGGUUGUGUAUUUGUUUUACAUAUGUAAUAUCAGUGGUUAUUGUAUUGCUUUCUAAAUGUUUAUAUGUGGUAUUGUGUGCACAUUUGUCUCUGGUGUUAAAUGUGAUAAUAUGGCUGAUCGAGGGUGGGGGGGGGGAAGCUUGUUCCUUUUCUCUAAUUUUUGCAGUUUUGUUUUUAGUUCACCAUAAUUCUUGGUUGAGAAAAUUGUGACCCCUAAACUGAAUAAAUGUGCGCUUUGUAAUGUG
Non-coding RNA from Pelobates cultripes (western spadefoot toad), 1637 nucleotides. The record is from the annotation of a GenBank genome assembly. Lineage: Eukaryota; Metazoa; Chordata; Amphibia; Anura; Pelobatidae.